This 465-nucleotide ribosomal RNA is filed under the name uncultured Burkholderiales bacterium. RNAcentral's name for it is "bacterial SSU rRNA". It matches the Rfam family "Bacterial small subunit ribosomal RNA", at positions 338 to 795 of the family's 1533-position model. Lineage: Bacteria; Pseudomonadati; Pseudomonadota; Betaproteobacteria; Burkholderiales. The record is from RNAcentral.
CCUACGGGCGGCUGCAGUGGGGAAUUUUGGACAAUGGGCGCAAGCCUGAUCCAGCCAUGCCGCGUGCGGGAAGAAGGCCUUCGGGUUGUAAACCGCUUUUGUCGGGGAAGAAAUACUCUGGACUAAUACUCUGGGGUGAUGACGGUACCUGAAGAAUAAGCACCGGCUAACUACGUGCCAGCAGCCGCGGUAAUACGUAGGGUGCGAGCGUUAAUCGGAAUUACUGGGCGUAAAGCGUGCGCAGGCGGUUGUGUAAGACAGAUGUGAAAUCCCCGGGCUCAACCUGGGAAUGGCAUUUGUGACUGCACAGCUAGAGUACGGUAGAGGGGGAUGGAAUUCCGCGUGUAGCAGUGAAAUGCGUAGAUAUGCGGAGGAACACCGAUGGCGAAGGCAGUCCCCUGGACCUGUACUGACGCUCAUGCACGAAAGCGUGGGGAGCAAACAGGAUUAGAUACCCCAGUAGUC